RNAcentral lists this ribosomal RNA (253 nucleotides) under uncultured bacterium. Its description in RNAcentral is "partial 16S ribosomal RNA". It matches the Rfam family "Bacterial small subunit ribosomal RNA", at positions 524 to 776 of the family's 1533-position model. The record is from RNAcentral.
UAGGUAGGGGGCGAGCGUUAAUCGGAAUUACUGGGCGUAAAGCGUGCGCAGGCGGCUUUGCAAGACAGAUGUGAAAUCCCCGGGCUCAACCGGGGAACUGCAUUUGUGACUGCAAGGCUAGAGUACGGCAGAGGGGGAUGGAAUUCCGCGUGUAGCAGUGAAAUGCGUAGAUAUGCGGAGGAACACCAAUGGCGAAGGCAAUCCCCUGGGCCUGUACUGACGCUCAUGCACGAAAGCGUGGGGAGCAAACAGG